This 76-nucleotide transfer RNA is filed under the name Deltaproteobacteria bacterium. Its description in RNAcentral is "tRNA-Lys". It matches the Rfam family "tRNA". From Rfam's summary of the family: Transfer RNA (tRNA) molecules are approximately 80 nucleotides in length. Their secondary structure includes four short double-helical elements and three loops (D, anti-codon, and T loops). Further hydrogen bonds mediate the characteristic L-shaped molecular structure. tRNAs have two regions of fundamental functional importance: the anti-codon, which is responsible for specific mRNA codon recognition, and the 3' end, to which the tRNAs corresponding amino acid is attached (by aminoacyl-tRNA synthetases). tRNAs cope with the degeneracy of the genetic code in two manners: having more than one tRNA (with a specific anti-codon) for a particular amino acid; and 'wobble' base-pairing, i.e. permitting non-standard base-pairing at the 3rd anti-codon position. The record is from RNAcentral. Lineage: Bacteria; Pseudomonadati; Myxococcota; Myxococcia.
GGGGGCGUAGCUCAGUUGGUAGAGCAGCGGACUCUUAAUCCGCGGGUCGUGGGUUCGAUCCCCUCCGCCCUCACCA